AGUGAACGCUGGCGGCAGGCCUAACACAUGCAAGUCGAGCGGCAGCACAGGACUGCUUUCUGUCUUGGUGGAGAGUGGGGGACGGGAGAGGUAGAAAUCGGAAUCUGCCCAGUCGAGGGGGACAACGUAGGGACACUUACACUGAAACCGCUCUCGACCACCCGGUGAGAGAGCCUCAUCGCAAGCCCUCUCGCGUUUGGCUGAGCCGAUGUCGGAAUCGCUAGUUGUCGGGGUAAUGGCCCACCAAGGCGACGAUCCGUAGCUGGUCUGAGAGGAUGAACAGCCACACGGGAACUGAGACACGGUCCAGACUCCUACGGGAGGCAGCAGUGGGGAAUAUUGGACAAUGGGCGCAAGCCUGAUCCAGCCAUGCCGCGUGGGUGAAGAAGGCCUUCGGAUUGGAAAGCACUUUUGGUGGGAAAGAAGGGUUUGAGGCUAAUACCCUGGGGUUAUGACGGUACCAACAGAAUAAGCACCGGCUAACUACGUG
This 490-nucleotide ribosomal RNA is filed under the name uncultured bacterium. RNAcentral's name for it is "partial 16S ribosomal RNA". It matches the Rfam family "Bacterial small subunit ribosomal RNA", at positions 29 to 507 of the family's 1533-position model. The record is from RNAcentral.